Marasmius tenuissimus is the source of this 99-nucleotide non-coding RNA. NCBI's taxonomy places the organism in Eukaryota, Fungi, Basidiomycota, Agaricomycetes, Agaricales, Marasmiaceae. The record is from the annotation of a GenBank genome assembly.
ACACCGUUGGUGAAGUGGUUAUCAUGCUUGCCUUCCAUCAUGGAUGAUACGAUAUCUAUACCAGAGCAAGCGGCUCGGGUUCGAUUCCCGAACGGUGUA